Molecule: long non-coding RNA, 5038 nt
Organism: Prinia subflava (tawny-flanked prinia)
Lineage: Eukaryota; Metazoa; Chordata; Aves; Passeriformes; Cisticolidae
Exons: 3
Source: RefSeq, a predicted model, not a curated record
CGUAGAAGCCCAUGGUGUCGGCGCGCUUCCCCUUGCGCGGCGGCGGCGGCGCCCCGCGGGCCCGGCGGCCGGGCAGGCGCUGGCAGUACAGCCCCUUCUCCGGCAGAAGUAUGUAUUUCUUCAGCUCAUCAGCACUCCAGAAGGAAAGAAUAUGAUACCACAGAAGGGAUAUUUGCUAUGUCACUAACCCAGCCAACUAAGCAAUGUUGCAUCUACAACACAAGCCUGGGAAUGAAGUGGCACUGCAUGGCUUCCUCCAUCCUGUGAUAACUAUGAUAUUGCUCAACAGCCUCUGAAAUUUGAAGCAUCACCAGAGAAGCAGAAAAUGCCAUUUCCUUCAAGCAACCACUGUAAAGAAACUAAAUCACUGCACUAAGACCACAGAAGUGCAGCUCAGGUCGCAUUUGUAGAAGACAUCUCUCUCCAAUUAUUUAGAGCAAUCUAUCAAAUGCUCCUGACCACUUUCAAUUUUACUUUCAGGUGAGAGUCAGAUUUAGAGAUUUUUGUAUUUUUAUGAAAAUAAACAUGGCAGUAAAUUGAAGCACAAAUAUUCUAAUUCUUAAGUGAAGAAAGAAAACACACUUUUACACUUUAAAUGUAGUGGUGAUCUCUCAUCUGCUUUUGUCUUGAGGCUAGAUGCAUUCUGGACUGGGAUAAGUCUGAACACCACACUUGUCCAGUUCUUGAAACAGUGUGUUGUUACCUCAGAGACCUCCAACUUCUAAUUUGCUGCAAUCAGACACAUGGCCAGCAUUCAACACAAGUAUUUUUUCCAUUUCAGUUUAACAGAAAAAAUCCACUCCUGUUUUCCAAGUCAAACAAGGAAAGGGUUUCUUAGCACCAGCUGUUUCCAAGUCUAGAGACUAUGACAGCAGCCAUAUAAGAUGGAAGAAACAGGGAAAAGAUAGACAUAGGGCAAGAUAACCUCAGUUUCCAGAUUUGUUUAUGAAGCUACUGCUUACAACUAUAUCUUGGUUCUUGUCUCCCCUUUUGUAUGUACAGAACAGAAAAUGCACACAGAAGGUAAGCCGGGAGAAUUUUUUAUUUCAUUAUUUUCAAGAUGUGAGGGGCAAAGGACUGAAGAAGGAAAAUCAAGCUUCCUUAUUUAUAAUGCAUUAUAAGACAACAUGCAAGGUUUUUCCCAUUUAAUAUUUAAUAUUAAACAUGAGCUCUUGUUUAUACAAAGAAAACCCCCUAAUUACUUUUAAGUCAGAAUAUAGGAUAAUACAGAUGGAAAGAAAAAAAUAAUAAUAAUAAAAAAACCACUUAAGAUUUUUUUCUGCUGGAUAAUAGUAGCAAAUUUACCAAUUUGGCUAUUUGUGAAAACCAUUAAUGAAGGCACACCUAAAAGGCCAGAUAAAACCUUUGUGUUUGAUAUGGUUUUUGGCAUGUCUGUGACAGAUACAGUUAAUCUAGGACAGUCUUACAAAGCAGCACUGGUGCUACUUAUUGGCAAGUAGUUAAAAGGAAAUCUUGAAAGUCUCCCUGAGAGAAGAUCAUCUGUGUAUGCAUUCUGAGGACUAUUAUUAAGUAGUAUUAGAUAACAAGAUGCUAUGACUCCCCAGUUGUGAAUGGAAGAAGAAAGGAAACAACUGCCUACCAGCUAUAAUAUUGUGUGCUACAGAAUGAAAAUUAUAUAUUGUAUUUUGUAUUUUAAAAAUAGACCUUGAAGUUCACAAGCACUGUGAAAGGAAUUCACAAGUUCAGAAAGGUUUUUAGCAUAUUUCUUAGUAGCAACUGACAUUCUUUAAGAAAUAUGCUAAAGAUGGCUGCAUAUAUUAGGUUUUUAAUAGGGCAACAUCUUUGUGAUCCAUGUCAUUACAUGCUUUAGAAUGCCAUAUCCAAUAUCUGGCACACUGAACCUUCAAAGACAACACAUGUUUUCUGUUCUCUCUACUGGAAUGCUCUCCUAGUAAGCUUAAAAAGAAAAGAAAGAAAAAAAAAAGGCAGUUCUUUAAGUUCUCAACAGUUUAAUCUCAGGACUCCAAAUUCAUUCCCCAUACAUUCAUAUACCAUCAAAACAUGAAGUAUUUCUCAAAACCCUGUAUACAAUUUAGAACUCCUAGUAAAGAGAGAUCAAAAGAUGGACAAAAAUAAAGAAGUUCCUCACAGCAAGGAACUGUUCGCAUGAAAACACACAAGAUGGUUCUGAAAAAUACACAAAAAAGAAGAAAAACUCGAAGAUACAGGCAAUCUGAAAUUAAAAUUGAAGUGGUAAAUAGUUUAAACUACAUUCAAAACUGAUAAAUAAUGUACUUCUUUAUUGUUCAGUAAAUGUCAUAUGUUUCACCCCACUGAGGUUUAAUUUGUGUCAAUAUAAGUACCCUUGUAAAAAGGAUUCUAUUUACCUUCUUCCAAAUACAUUAAUAUACAAAUAAUGUACAUUAUGCACACAGUUAUUACACUAGGUUAAAAAAAGACAUUUUUGUGUUUAUAUGACAAAGAUUAGCUACUUCAAAGAGACGACAGUUCAAUUUAAAGGAUUUUGCUCACUAACAUUGUUCAUGCUUAAGUAGUGCAAAUUUGAAUUACAAAUCUUAAAAUCACCAAGAAAAUACAAGGCCUUAGGGCCAAUUACUAAAUAACAUGUUUCAAUUUUUCUAUCAACAUACAUACACAGACAGAAUAUGCUGAGAGCAAAGAAAUACAGAUGUCUCUUGAAAGAUUAGUUUUAUUAGACUUGCAGCACCUAUUAUGACUGGGUAACUGUGUAUAACCUCGGGGGCAGGGGGGCAUAAAUUGUCUGCUGAAGCCCAAAGAAUAAGCUGAAAAUUUUCAGUGAUUAUGAACUCAUAUGGUCUGCAUGUUCACUGCAAGGGGCUGCCAAUGCUACUUGUUCCUAUAAAUUAGGUCCCACAAGUCAAUAAGACACUCUAGAGGUGCAAAUUACAGGUUUUAAUAUUUUUGCAUUUCAGUGACUAGUGAGAAUUUUGACUGCAGGUUUCCCUCUGUAUCAGGAAGGGAAAAAGAGAAAAACUGGGGCAGGGGCCAUGAAGGUUUGCACAGCCACCUCUCCUCAUUGCCAUGUUUUCAGGAAUUAAUGAAUUCCCUGAGGAUGUCUUGAAUGUCUAGAAGCAUUUACUUUUUCCACACACCAGAAAGAACAGGUCACUUCUGAUAUGAGCUCUUCCUAAAUCAAGAAAGGUAAGGCUGGACCUGCUAAACAUGGCCAUAAACGGACAAAAAUGAACUAUUUAUGGACAUUUAAAACAUUCACUUGUGCGCUGAAAUUAAAAUGGGCCAGUACUUCAGAACAGGAAACUAUUUCCUCUUCACCCACUCAGAAGUUUGGAUGCCUUCCCAGAAAUCUCAAGACUGGCGCAGGGCUUAGUGCUGCGCCUGCAAGACAGCUGCAUCUGGAUACAACCCUUCACGGGAAUGCACAAGACAAACCAAGGAAGACAGGUUGAGCAGAUGUAGUUAACGGAGGUGGUGCCAGAAAGUGAUCCAUGUUAACCAGAUGCUCCAAAGAAACUCCUCUCAGUAAGGCGGCACAAGACACGGGCCUUUUGGAAAGCGACUUGAGCUGUGCCAACAGAUAUCAUGGACACCCACGACCACUCACACAGCUCAGAGCCAAGCAGCUCAAGUUACCUCCUCUUCUUCCUCUUCUGGAAGGGAAUGGCUACAAUUCACUUAAGUUUUCUCCCAUGAUGACCAGCUCUUUAUGCAGUAAGAAAAGGGAAGUGGACAAGAAGCUACAGGAAACUGACAUACAGCAAAUUAAUCUAACAACUGAAUGGAAUAAUCCCAACAAAAUUAUUACAAGCAUUCACCUCAUACAGGAGGUGCAUAGUGUGUAUUUAAAAAAAAUCAAGAAAUAAAUCCCCAAAAUGAAUCUACUUUUGCAAUUUUAAUCCAUGUAAUAUUCAUACUAAUUAGGCACCGACCAAAUUAGCUGCUGCUAUUGCAACCCAUUUUCUUUCUAAAGUGAAGAAGCACUGCUAUGUAUGUGCCCUUAAUAAAUCUGGAUAUUAAUUGCAAUUAGUGUCAAAUUUUCACAGUGCAAAGUGACCUCAACACAUAAUGACAUUUCAAACAUGAUGAGAAAACUAACCAUUUCUGUGAGAAGCAAUUUUAUACCAUUAGAUGAAUCUCAGUCAGAAAAAGCACAGAUGCCACAGGUCCUGCCAUAGGUGUUAAAGGGAUGAUGCAGUCUCAUUUCUGUAAUUUGUAUUAUUAGUUUUUUUGUCUGUUACCUAUUUCUUGCAUCACUGUGAACAGAAAUUGCAAAUAAGUGGCAAGCAUGCAUGUCUAAUAAAUUAAAUGUACAGAAGCUUAUUAUUGUUAAAAACAACAACAUUCCUCCUGAAGGAGAAAGGUGCACAAGCAUCUAUUCUGAAUGCUGCUCAAGAGAAGAGAAUUAAUACCAACUAUGAGAGUUUAUCAUCUGCCUGGAGAUAAUAAAGCAAGGGUAGGCAGUGGAAAUGGAUUGACAUGUAGUAUUUUAAUAUGAAUUUGUUAUACUUAAAGCUAAACACAUGUAUUUUGAAAAUCAAGUGAUAGAUAUUUUGGAAGUUGUAAUUUAUUUUUUUUUUUGGCAUGAUGGCUUUCUGGCUCUCUUAGGAAAUACAAUGAGUUACAGAUAAUUCUUUGUUUUCUUAAAGGUGGUACAUGCGCAGAAAGGACUUCUCAGAGCUGUUUGCAGGAUAAGCAGAGAGGCAAAGGACAGGAAGACUGUGGGUGUAAAGAGACAGGAAAGAAGAGAGAGAUGAUCUAUAAAAACUAUGUGGACAGAAUAGGCACUAGACAGUAAAAGACCUGUUUCACAGUUGGUAUGUAGACAGGAUUUGGAGGAGGGAAAGCAAAAGAAUGGAAGACUGUAGGGCCAUGAAGAAAUCCAUGCUAAGAAUUCAGUCUGAAAUUUCACUAACAAUGUACCAUAGGAGAAAUGCAAGAUGGAAUGCAGCAAUGCUGUAAAUAUGUUAAAAUUGCAAACAUUCUUGCCAGCUGCUGCUGUUAUCAUGAGAAGUAAUCUUGUGUUAGGGUUUAUUAAUAGCAGCAUGCUUUGGAAGAGACUGCCUUUUGCACUUACAGA